This 67-nucleotide transfer RNA is filed under the name Varanus rudicollis (roughneck monitor). Its description in RNAcentral is "tRNA-Lys". Lineage: Eukaryota; Metazoa; Chordata; Lepidosauria; Squamata; Varanidae. The record is from RNAcentral.
AUUUCUCUAGUAUAAACAAUACAAGUGAUUUCCACUCACUUAAUCCCGCUUAACGCGGGGAGAAACA